RNAcentral lists this ribosomal RNA (119 nucleotides) under Pteropus alecto (black flying fox). Lineage: Eukaryota; Metazoa; Chordata; Mammalia; Chiroptera; Pteropodidae. The record is from RNAcentral.
GUCUACGGCCAUGCCACCCUGAACACACCCGAUCUCAUCUGAUCUUGGAAGCUAAGGAGAGUCAGGCCUGGUUAAUAUUUGGGUGAGAGACCAUGUAGGAAGAUCAGGUGCUGUAGGCA